RNAcentral lists this ribosomal RNA (253 nucleotides) under uncultured bacterium. RNAcentral describes it as "partial 16S ribosomal RNA". It matches the Rfam family "Bacterial small subunit ribosomal RNA", at positions 524 to 776 of the family's 1533-position model. The record is from RNAcentral.
UACAGAGGGGGCAAGCGUUGUUCGGAAUCACUGGGCGUAAAGCGCACGUAGGCGGAUUGCUAAGUCAGGGGUGAAAUCCUGGAGCUCAACUCCAGAACUGCCUUUGAUACUGGCGACCUUGAGUCCUGGAGAGGAAGGUGGAAUGCUUGGUGUAGAGGUGAAAUUCGUAGAUAUCAAGCGGAACACCGGUGGCGAAGGCGGCCUUCUGGACAGUGACUGACGCUGAGACGCGAAAGCGUGGGGAGCAAACAGG